This 82-nucleotide transfer RNA is filed under the name Insectozyma verbasci. Its description in RNAcentral is "Candida verbasci tRNA-Leu". It matches the Rfam family "tRNA". Rfam says of the family: Transfer RNA (tRNA) molecules are approximately 80 nucleotides in length. The record is from RNAcentral. Lineage: Eukaryota; Fungi; Ascomycota; Pichiomycetes; Serinales; Debaryomycetaceae.
GCGACUGUGAUGGAAUUGGUAGACAUAAGACACUUAAGAUGUCUGGGCAUUAGCCGUGAAGGUUCGACUCCUUCCAGCCGUA